UACAGGGGGGGGCAAGCGUUGUUUCGGAAUUACUGGGCGUAAAGGGCCAGUAGGCGGCCAACUAAGUCACACGUGAAAUCCCCAGCUUAACCUGGGAACUGCGUGUGAUACUGGAUGGCUUGAAUUCGGGAGAGGGAUGCAGAAUUCCAGGUGUAGCGGUGAAAUGCGUAGAUAUCUGGAGGAAUACCGAUGGCGAAGGCAGCCAUCUGGCCUAACACUGACGCUGAGGUGCGAAAGCAUGGGGAGCAAACAGG
This 254-nucleotide ribosomal RNA is filed under the name uncultured bacterium. RNAcentral describes it as "partial 16S ribosomal RNA". It matches the Rfam family "Bacterial small subunit ribosomal RNA", at positions 524 to 776 of the family's 1533-position model. The record is from RNAcentral.